Molecule: microRNA, 22 nt
Filed under: Pristionchus pacificus
Lineage: Eukaryota; Metazoa; Nematoda; Chromadorea; Rhabditida; Neodiplogasteridae
Description: ppc-miR-8278-5p
Source: miRBase by way of RNAcentral
UCGUUUCAGACGCUCCUUUUCC